GCAUUAAUGGGGUAGUGGUAACCUGGGUCGUUGCCAUCUGACAAGUUGUCGACCCGCCGGGGGUUCGAUUCCCCCUUAAUGCA
This 83-nucleotide transfer RNA is filed under the name Termitomyces sp. T159_Od127. RNAcentral's name for it is "tRNA-Gly". It matches the Rfam family "tRNA". From Rfam's summary of the family: Transfer RNA (tRNA) molecules are approximately 80 nucleotides in length. The record is from RNAcentral. Lineage: Eukaryota; Fungi; Basidiomycota; Agaricomycetes; Agaricales; Lyophyllaceae.